CGCUUCUAGGGUUCCUUCCACUAUUGCGUGCUCGUGAACGACGCGGUUUGUUCUUCCUUUUUUGCGUUCUAGGGUUCAGUUUUUCACCGUAGCUCACGGCGAUCUCAUCUUCGACCCCGAGAAUCUCCGUUUCAUCGGUGUUUUGUUAGGGUUUUACAGAAACUUUAUCGCUCCCCGAGCUCCGAAAAUUUCCUACUUUGCAGUGCGUGAACGUGUCUGUCCGUGUGUUGCAUACGGAGAGAAACUUUACGAAUUCUGUCGCUGAUUUGUUUGGAAUUGCGAUUUUUCUUGUAUAGGUGCUGUGGUCACGAAGCUUUGUAUUAAAACAUAGGAAUUCCACCCUUUUUUGUUUCUGAAAUUUGAAGACUAAUGUCUGGAAGAAAUCGUGUACCUCCUCAUCCAAUGAAAGAUAUUCCACAUGGUGGCUUCCACCCAAUGCACGAGCCCCCCUUUGGAAAAGGACUUGGCCCACGGCCUCAUCCUGCUCUUCUUGAGGAAAUGAGAGAAUCCCAGUUUGGUAUGGCCCCCAGACAGUUCCCUCCUCAUCCAGCUAUUAUUGAGGAACAACUCGCAGCUCAACAUCAGGAGAUUCAAGGCCUUUUGGUUGAUAAUCAAAGACUUGCUGCCACCCACGUGGCUCUUAAGCAGGAACUAGAAGCUGCACAGCAUGAGCUUCAAGAGACGGCUCACUAUGCCAGUUCCUUGCAUGCAGAGAAGGAUAUGCAGAUGAGAGAACUGUAUGAGAAGUCCAUUAAAUUGGAAAUGGAUCUUGGUGCAUCAAAGGCCAUGAGGGCCGAGCUUCUGCAAGUUCACAGUGAUAUUAAGGAGUUUACUGCUGCACGAGAAGAGCUUACAGCUAAGGUUCAAUCAAUGACUCAGGAUUUAACCAGGGUCACUGCAGAUGUACAACAAGCCCCAGCUCUGAAGGCAGAAAUCGAGGGUCUGAAACAGGAGUUGCAGCGUGCACGGGCUGCCAUUGAGUAUGAGAAGAAGGGAUAUGCAGAGAAUUAUGAACAUGGUCAGGUGCUGGAGAAGAAAUUGAUCUCAAUGGCUCGCGAGUUGGAAAAGCUCCGUGCUGAGAUGGCUAAUGCAGAAAAAAGAGCACGUGCUGCUGCUGCUGCUGUUGGGAAUACAGGUUAUAGUGGAAACUAUGCUGAAGUUGGGUAUGCUGGAAAUCCUUAUCCUACCAAUUAUGGUACAAAUUCCAUGAAUCCUGUACAGGCGGCUGCAGAAAACUAUCCUCAAUACGGACCUGGUCCUGGUGCUUGGGGUGCUUAUGAUAUGCAGAGAGCUCAAGGACACAGAUAAGAGUAGUAUGCUGACAUGCUAAGAUGCAGGCUGUUAUUUGGUCCUUUGUGAUGGCAUUUAGACUGGAGCUAGUGUCACUCCCCCUCCGGAAGGGCACGAGCAGGAAUUCAGGGACGUGGCAUGGCCAUCCAAAGUUCAUCAGGAUUCACAUGUUCCAGUCUCUUCUAUCUCGGCUGCUGGAAGGACAAAAUUUCAGCCUAUUGAGUGCUUGUUUGGUACAUACUUUAAGUUUUCUUACUGGACUGUUACUUCUCUUGGUUGAAAUGGAUUUGAGGGACCAUUGUUACAUAAGCUUCAAAUAUUUUGUAUGUUGUGUUUGCCUGACGAUUCAGACUCCAUGUCAGCUUUGUUAUUGUAUUGUAAUGAUGCAUUUAGGCUUUUGCUUCCCAAAUUUGAGCCGAGAAUAGGAAGGAAAAAAGUAGAAAUGAGGUGAGCCUUCUUCUGGGUACUGA
RNA transcript from Diospyros lotus (date-plum), 1760 nucleotides. It is a transcript of the gene named protein FLX-like 1, with no coding region annotated. The record is from RefSeq and is a predicted model, not a curated record. The transcript has 6 exons. Lineage: Eukaryota; Viridiplantae; Streptophyta; Magnoliopsida; Ericales; Ebenaceae.